GAUGAACGCUGGCGGUGUGCCUAAUACAUGCAAGUCGAGCGAACAGACGAGGAGCUUACUCCUCUGACGUUAGCGGCGGACGGGUGAAUAACACGUGGAUAACCUACCUAUAAGACUGGGAUAACUUCGGGAAACCGGAGCUAAUACCGGAUAACAUGUUGAACCGCAUGGUUCAACAGUGAAAGACGGUCUUGCUGUCACUUAUAGAUGGAUCCGCGUCGCAUUAGCUAGUUGGUAAGGUAACGGCUUACCAAGGCAACGAUGCGUAGCCGACCUGAGAGGGUGAUCGGCCACACUGGAACUGAGACGCGGUCCAGACUCCUACGGGAGGCAGCAGUAGGGAAUCUUCCGCAAUGGGCGAAAGCCUGACGGAGCAACGCCGCGUGAGUGAAGAAGGUCUUCGGAUCGUAAAACUCUGUUAUUAGGGAAGAACAAAUGUGUAAGUAACUAUGCACGUCUUGACGGUACCUAAUCAGAAAGCCACGGCUAACUACGUG
Molecule: ribosomal RNA, 497 nt
Filed under: uncultured bacterium
Lineage: Bacteria
Description: partial 16S ribosomal RNA
Rfam family: Bacterial small subunit ribosomal RNA
Source: RNAcentral